GGUUCCGUGGUGUAGCGGUUAUCACGUCUGCUUUACACGCAGAAGAUCGCCGGUUCGAUCCCGGUCGGAACCA
Molecule: transfer RNA, 73 nt
Filed under: Melipona quadrifasciata
Lineage: Eukaryota; Metazoa; Arthropoda; Insecta; Hymenoptera; Apidae
Rfam family: tRNA
About the family: Transfer RNA (tRNA) molecules are approximately 80 nucleotides in length. Their secondary structure includes four short double-helical elements and three loops (D, anti-codon, and T loops). Further hydrogen bonds mediate the characteristic L-shaped molecular structure. tRNAs have two regions of fundamental functional importance: the anti-codon, which is responsible for specific mRNA codon recognition, and the 3' end, to which the tRNAs corresponding amino acid is attached (by aminoacyl-tRNA synthetases). tRNAs cope with the degeneracy of the genetic code in two manners: having more than one tRNA (with a specific anti-codon) for a particular amino acid; and 'wobble' base-pairing, i.e. permitting non-standard base-pairing at the 3rd anti-codon position.
Source: Rfam by way of RNAcentral